CAGUAGCUCAGUGGAUAGAGCAAUGGCCUCCGGAGCCAUGUGCGCAGGUUCGAUUCCUGUCUGGUGC
Molecule: transfer RNA, 67 nt
Filed under: human gut metagenome
Rfam family: tRNA
About the family: Transfer RNA (tRNA) molecules are approximately 80 nucleotides in length. Their secondary structure includes four short double-helical elements and three loops (D, anti-codon, and T loops).
Source: RNAcentral